UUAGGUGAUCCAGACAGGCUGGACCAGUUUCACCCAACGUUUCAUCUCGCCUGUGCAGUGAACCCUUUGAGAGUCAUCACUUCAGCACGGACUCAUGGGGAAGGAGAUGCCUGAAAAACACUGCAGUGCCCACCAUUUUCUAUUUCACCAAUGGCAAAGAACAACAGCCUAGAAGGAAAAGCAGGGUGAGGAGCAAUGAGGAGGACGCUUGAGGGAAGUUGCAACGCCUCGGCCAAUGUGAUGUCUUCUCCACGUGAAAGAGAUUGAAGGCAUAAUUUAUAACUUGAGACAAUUUUCCAAAAGUUAUGACUUUUACUUAGGUAGUAAUGGAUUACAUCUAACACGAAUCAAGAUCGUAUAGAAAAAAAGGAAAGUGUAAUCCUUAGUUACAUAGGAAAAGAUGUAAUCGGAUUAGUUUGACUUUUUUUAAUAAUAGGGAAACUCAGGAUUACAAUCUUAUUCAAAACCUAAAAAGAGCAUAUAGUGUUUGUUGUAAAAUGAUCAAAUUGUAUCUCUUCUCUGGAAGCAGUACUGUUCUGUAGGCUAAUACUUUAAUUGUGAAUCUAUAUACACCUACUGCCUGAAUCUGCUUUAUGGUAUUAUAUUAUACAUUUAAGUAAAAAAAUCAUAUUAAUAUU
Molecule: long non-coding RNA, 638 nt
Organism: Gymnodraco acuticeps
Lineage: Eukaryota; Metazoa; Chordata; Actinopteri; Perciformes; Bathydraconidae
Exons: 3
Source: RefSeq, a predicted model, not a curated record